GUGAGUGUGUCUCUGAAUUUUUUUCAUUGCAGAUAGUUUGGUGGAAUUCUAUUUUUAGUUAUGUUUUUUCUCCAUCACUUUGCUUGGGAACGCUGGAUGAAGUGGUUACUUUCAUUUCUCUUUUUCACCAUCAUGAUUGUUUCCUGCAGUCCCAUUUAUUUUUGUCAAGUUUUUCUUCAUGCCAUCAAUCUGUCUCAUUUGUGUAUCUGUUCUGUUUCUUUUUCUUUUUUCACAGCUGCGAAGAGCCAUGGAUGGUCUUUUAUUUGGUUGGUUUUCAUUCCUGAUGCAUAUACAAACCACUAGAGUAUGCAUUUUUGAAUCUUAUAUAUAUCUUCCAGAUUUAGCUUUAUAUUAUGAAGAUAUUUGUCAUUUGGGCAGCUGAGAAAGGCUUUUUCCUUGAGACACUCUCUGCUUACCUUUUAUAAUGUUCAGACAGGAGGUUGUCAGUUAACUUGCUAUAAAUCUACCUUCAGCUUCAGUGUGAUAUAAUUAUAUAAGUUCUAUUAUUAAUGAUGCAUUUCUGGUUUGGUCUGCUCUUGAUAGUGCUAGUGGUCACCAGCCCUGCUAUUUUGGCAUUUAUAGUGAGCACAUAUCUUCUGAUAAUUAUAUUUCUCUUUUAUAAAAUGUUUUAUAUACACAUUUCUUUUAAUGUGUCAGCAUAGCAAAUAUUUUCCAAAUGUCCACAACGUCUGAGGCAUUGUUGUAAGCAAUGGGAAUGCUAUGGUAAAUAAGAUGCCAUAUACAAAUUACAUUCUAGUGUGGGAGAGAGACAGCAAGUAAGAAAGACACUUGAUAGAGCUGCAGAGUGUUGAGUACUGUGAAGAACACGAAGCGCGAUGUGAACGUGGAGAUGAAGGCAUGUGCUGUGGUCAUGGAAGGCCUUUUGGGGGAAGUGACUUUCAAGCAGAGACCUGAUUGAUAUGAUGCCAUGAAGGGCAGUUUAGGGAAGGGAGCAGCAAGUCAAGAGGCCCUGAGGCUGGAGUGUCUCAGGGCCAGCAAGAAGGUCAGAGUGCCUGGAUGAUAGUUGGCUAGUGGGUGAGUGGUAGGAGUUGAGGCUGGAUCAUAGCCAGUUAGAGGGUGAGUGGUAGGAGAUGAGGUUGGAUGAUAGUCAGCUAGGGGGUGAGUGGUGGGAGGUGAGGUUGGAGGGAUAGCCGGUUAGCAGGUGAGUGGUGGGAGGUGAGGCUGGAUGAUAGCCAACUAGGGGGUGAGUGGUAGGAGGUAAGGUUGGAUGAUAGCUAGGGGGUGAGUAGUGGUAGGUGAGGUUGGAUCAUAGCCAGCUAGAGGGUGAAUGUUAGGAGGUAAGGUUGGAUGUUGGAUCAUAGCCAGCUAGGGGGUGAAUGGUAGGAGGUAAG
This 1352-nucleotide long non-coding RNA is filed under the name Homo sapiens (human). RNAcentral's name for it is "HSALNT0118077". The record is from RNAcentral. Lineage: Eukaryota; Metazoa; Chordata; Mammalia; Primates; Hominidae.